This 301-nucleotide ribosomal RNA is filed under the name uncultured bacterium. Its description in RNAcentral is "partial 16S ribosomal RNA". It matches the Rfam family "Bacterial small subunit ribosomal RNA", at positions 509 to 809 of the family's 1533-position model. The record is from RNAcentral.
CAGCAGCCACGGGAAUACGAAGGGUGCAAGCGUUACUCGGAAUUACUGGGCGUAAAGCGUGCGUAGGUGGUGGUUUAAGUCCGUUGUGAAAGCCCUGGGCUCAACCUGGGAACUGCAGUAGAUACUGGAUCACUAGAGUGUGGUAGAGGAUAGUGGAAUUUCCGGUGUAGCAGUGAAAUGCGUAGAGAUCGGAAGGAACAUCUGUGGCGAAGGCGACUAUCUGGGCCAACACUGACACUGAGGCACGAAAGCGUGGGGAGCAAACAGGAUUAGAUACCCCUGUAGUCCCUGUCUCUUAUAA